UCACUGAUGGCCCAGUGGCUAAGACGCCACACUCCCAAUGCAGAAUACCCAGGUUCAAUCCCUGGUCAGGGAA
RNAcentral lists this transfer RNA (73 nucleotides) under Bos taurus (domestic cattle). It matches the Rfam family "tRNA". From Rfam's summary of the family: Transfer RNA (tRNA) molecules are approximately 80 nucleotides in length. Their secondary structure includes four short double-helical elements and three loops (D, anti-codon, and T loops). Lineage: Eukaryota; Metazoa; Chordata; Mammalia; Artiodactyla; Bovidae. The record is from Rfam by way of RNAcentral. RNAcentral also lists the same sequence under 2 other names.